CCAUCGGUCCUUUUCAGGACCACAAUAUUUUUACAAAAAAGAGAAA
Non-coding RNA from Stomoxys calcitrans (stable fly), 46 nucleotides. NCBI's taxonomy places the organism in Eukaryota, Metazoa, Arthropoda, Insecta, Diptera, Muscidae. The record is from Rfam.